This 425-nucleotide ribosomal RNA is filed under the name uncultured bacterium. RNAcentral's name for it is "bacterial SSU rRNA". It matches the Rfam family "Bacterial small subunit ribosomal RNA", at positions 355 to 772 of the family's 1533-position model. The record is from RNAcentral.
UAGGGAAUCUUGCGCAAUGCGCGAAAGCGUGACGCAGCAACGCCGCGUGGGGGAAGACGGCCUUCGGGUUGUAAACCCCUUUCAGGAGGGACGAAGGUUCGUCGGUUAAUAGCCGGCCGGACUGACGGUACCUCCAGAAGAAGCCCCGGCUAACUACGUGCCAGCAGCCGCGGUAAUACGUAGGGGGCAAGCGUUGUCCGGAAUCAUUGGGCGUAAAGCGCGUGUAGGCGGUUCAGUAAGUCCGCUCUGAAAGUCCGGGGCUCAACCCCGGAAGGCGGGUGGAUACUGCUGAACUAGAGUGCGGAAGAGGCGAGUGGAAUUCCCGGUGUAGCGGUGAAAUGCGCAGAUAUCGGGAGGAACACCAAUUGCGAAGGCAGCUCGCUGGGACGUGACUGACGCUGAGACGCGAAAGCGUGGGGAGCAAA